AUACUUACCUGGCGUGGAGGAUACCGUGAUCAAAAAGGCGGUUCCUCCAGGGUGAGGCUCUUCCAUUGCACUACGGUUGAGCUGACCCCUGCGAAUACCCCUAAAGUGGGUAUCUCGGACGUAUAAUUUUUGAUAGUCGGGAACAGCGUUCGCGCUAUCCCGGU
Non-coding RNA from Apis mellifera (honey bee), 164 nucleotides. The record is from Rfam. Lineage: Eukaryota; Metazoa; Arthropoda; Insecta; Hymenoptera; Apidae.